UGCCCUUGACUUUGGGAUAACUUCAGGAAACUGGGGCUAAUACCGGAUAGGAGCUCCUGCUGCAUGGUGGGGGUUGGAAAGUUUCGGCGGUUGGGGAUGGACUCGCGGCUUAUCAGCUUGUUGGUGGGGUAGUGGCUUACCAAGGCUUUGACGGGUAGCCGGCCUGAGAGGGUGACCGGCCACAUUGGGACUGAGAUACGGCCCAG
Molecule: ribosomal RNA, 206 nt
Filed under: uncultured Actinomycetales bacterium
Lineage: Bacteria; Bacillati; Actinomycetota; Actinomycetes; Actinomycetales
Description: partial 16S ribosomal RNA
Rfam family: Bacterial small subunit ribosomal RNA
Source: RNAcentral